GACGAACGCUGGCGGCGUGCUUAACACAUGCAAGUCGAACGAAGUGGCGAACGGGUGAGUAACGCGUAAUCAACCUGCCCUUCAGAGGGGGACAACAGUUGGAAACGACUGCUAAUACCGCAUACUGAAGGAGGGGAUUGCGUCUGAUUCGCUAGUUGGAGGGGUAACGGCCCACCAAGGCGAUGAUCAGUAGGCGGUCUGGGAGGGUGGACGGCCACAUUGGGACGUGGAAACGGCCCAGACUCCUACGGGAGGCAGCAGUGGGGAAACUUCCGCAAUGGACGAAAGUCUGACGGAGCAACGCCGCGCGAGUGAUGACGGUCUUUGGGUUGUAAAGCUCUGUUAAUCGGGACGCGGUACCGGAAUAGAAAGCCACGGCUAACUCCGUGCCAGCAGCCGCGGUAAUUC
This 408-nucleotide ribosomal RNA is filed under the name uncultured bacterium. RNAcentral describes it as "partial 16S ribosomal RNA". It matches the Rfam family "Bacterial small subunit ribosomal RNA", at positions 28 to 526 of the family's 1533-position model. The record is from RNAcentral.